Molecule: non-coding RNA, 115 nt
Organism: Triticum urartu
Lineage: Eukaryota; Viridiplantae; Streptophyta; Magnoliopsida; Poales; Poaceae
Source: Rfam
GACGUACUCCCUCCGUUCGGAAUUACUCGUUUAAGAAAUGAAUGUAUCUAGAUGUAUUUUAGUUGUAGUUACAUUCAUUUUUGUGACAAGUAAUUCCGAACGGAGGGAGUACUCC